This 788-nucleotide ribosomal RNA is filed under the name uncultured Neocallimastigales. Its description in RNAcentral is "partial large subunit ribosomal RNA". It matches the Rfam family "Eukaryotic large subunit ribosomal RNA", at positions 23 to 645 of the family's 3401-position model. The record is from RNAcentral. Lineage: Eukaryota; Fungi; Neocallimastigomycota; Neocallimastigomycetes; Neocallimastigales.
AGAGAGAGACAUGCGCGCAUAUCAAUAAGCGGAGGAAAAGAAACUAACUAGGAUUCCCCUCAGUAACGGCGAGUGAAGCGGGAAGAGCUCAAAUUUGAAAUCUUCAAGGUUCUACCUUGACGAAUUGUAGUUUAAAGAAGUGUUUUCUGUUGGAGUUUUGGUAAAAGUUCUUCGGAAUAGGACAUCAUAGAGGGUGAGAAUCCCGUAUUUGACCAUUAUUUCCAGCUUUGUGAUACACUUUCAAAGAGUCGGAUUGUUUGGGAAUGCAGUCCAAAAUGGGUGGUAAAUUUCAUCUAAAGCUAAAUAUUGGCGAGAGACCGAUAGCGAACAAGUACCGUGAGGGAAAGAUGAAAAGAACUUUGAAAAGAGAGUUAAACAGUACGUGAAAUUGUCAAAAGGGAAGCGUUUGACACCAGUGUUGUUUUUCUCGAAAAUCAAUUAAAGAAAGCAUGAUUUAUGUAAGUUGUAUUAGACUUUAUCAGCUUCUGCACUCGUUUAGUCUUGAGCUUUUCUUUAAUGCACUUUUCAGUUAACAAGUCAACAUCAAUUUCUUUUGUUGUAAAAAGGUCAUUGAGGAAGGUGGCUUGAGCUUUCCGGAUAAGUGUUUAUAGCCUCUUGCCUCUGCAGUCGGAGAGAUUGAGGUCUGCAGCGUAGAUCCUUCGGGGUUAAAUAGCAUUUGUGCUAAGUUAUAGCCUUUCAUAGACAACUUGUUGACUAUGAUCAGUCAUGUAGCUUACUCGCUUAUGCUAUUUUACCUACGCUUAGGAUGUUGAUGUGAUACUGCGAGC